UACGUAGGGUGCAAGCGUUGUCCGGAAUUAUUGGGCGUAAAGAGCUCGUAGGCGGUUUGUUGCGUCGGCUGUGAAAUCCCGAGGCUCAACCUCGGGUCUGCAGUCGAUACGAGCAAACUAGAGUGUUGCAGGGGAGACUGGAAUUCCUGGUGUAGCGGUGAAAUGCGCAGAUAUCAGGAGGAACACCGGUGGCGAAGGCGGCUCUCUGGGUCUGUCCUGACGCUCAGGCGCGAAAGCUAGGGGAGCAAACAGG
RNAcentral lists this ribosomal RNA (253 nucleotides) under uncultured bacterium. RNAcentral's name for it is "partial 16S ribosomal RNA". It matches the Rfam family "Bacterial small subunit ribosomal RNA", at positions 524 to 776 of the family's 1533-position model. The record is from RNAcentral.